UAGGGAAUAUUGGACAAUGGAGGCAACUCUGAUCCAGCCAUGCCGCGUGAAUGAUGAAGGCCUUAGGGUUGUAAAGUUCUUUUAGUGGGGAAGAUAAUGACGGUACCCACAGAAAAAGCCCCGGCUAACUCUGUGCCAGCAGCCGCGGUAAUACAGAGGGGGCUAGCGUUGUUCGGAAUUACUGGGCGUAAAGGGCGCGUAGGCGGCCUAUUAAGUUAGAAGUGAAAUCCCGAAGCUUAACUUCGGAAUUGCUUUUAAUACUGAUAGGCUAGAAAUUGGUAGGGGAUAGUGGAAUUCCUAGUGUAGGAGUGAAAUCCGUAGAUAUUAGGAGGAACACCAGUGGCGAAGGCGGCUAUCUGGACCAAUAUUGACGCUGAGGCGCGAAAGUGUGGGGAGCAAACAG
RNAcentral lists this ribosomal RNA (403 nucleotides) under uncultured bacterium. RNAcentral's name for it is "bacterial SSU rRNA". It matches the Rfam family "Bacterial small subunit ribosomal RNA", at positions 355 to 775 of the family's 1533-position model. The record is from RNAcentral.